UGGGGAAUUUUGGACAAUGGGCGCAAGCCUGAUCCAGCAAUGCCGCGUGCAGGAAGAAGGCCUUCGGGUUGUAAACUGCUUUUGUACGGAACGAAAAGGCUCUGGUUAAUACCUGGGGCACAUGACGGUACCGUAAGAAUAAGCACCGGCUAACUACGUGCCAGCAGCCGCGGUAAUACGUAGGGUGCAAGCGUUAAUCGGAAUUACUGGGCGUAAAGCGUGCGCAGGCGGUUUUGUAAGACAGGCGUGAAAUCCCCGGGCUCAACCUGGGAAUUGCGCUUGUGACUGCAAGGCUGGAGUGCGGCAGAGGGGGAUGGAAUUCCGCGUGUAGCAGUGAAAUGCGUAGAUAUGCGGAGGAACACCGAUGGCGAAGGCAAUCCCCUGGGCCUGCACUGACGCUCAUGCACGAAAGCGUGGGGAGCAAACAGG
RNAcentral lists this ribosomal RNA (429 nucleotides) under uncultured bacterium. RNAcentral's name for it is "bacterial SSU rRNA". It matches the Rfam family "Bacterial small subunit ribosomal RNA", at positions 355 to 776 of the family's 1533-position model. The record is from RNAcentral.